AUGAACGUUGUAUUAAGGGGUUUCUAUCAGUUAGUAACAAAGCCGGCAGUAUCCUUGAAUUCAGGGGUCAGCUACGGGAGGUAUAUCUCCAUGUGUGCCGAAGAAGCGUCUAUCAUUAUACGCUGUUUAUCCAAUCAAAAACUUCUUCGUUUAGUUGGUAGAACCCACGCCAAUAUCAUAUUGACUCUCUCUCGUCCAAUAAGAGUUUCCGAGAGUUACUUUAUUCAAAUUCUCUCCUUUCCAAAGAUCCACAAGGAAAAAAGAGUAAUAGGACAACAAUAUUGCUUUCAUUUAUUUUGA
RNAcentral lists this ribosomal RNA (300 nucleotides) under Triticum aestivum (bread wheat). RNAcentral's name for it is "partial small subunit ribosomal RNA". The record is from RNAcentral. Lineage: Eukaryota; Viridiplantae; Streptophyta; Magnoliopsida; Poales; Poaceae.